UGUGGAGCCGUCCUUGAAAUACCACCCUUGUAGUGUUGAUGUUCUAACGUCGACCCCUAAUCGGGGUUGCGGACAGUGCCUGGUGGGUAGUUUGACUGGGGCGGUCUCCUCCCAAAGAGUAACGGAGGAGCACGAAGGUGGGCUAAUCACGGUUGGACAUCGUGAGGUUAGUGCAAUGGCAUAAGCCCGCUUGACUGCGAGAAUGACAAUUCGAGCAGGUGCGAAAGCAGGUCAUAGUGAUCCGGUGGUUCUGAAUGGAAGGGCCAUCGCUCAACGGAUAAAAGGUACUCCGGGGAUAACAGGCUGAUACCGCCCAAGAGUUCAUAUCGACGGCGGUGUUUGGCACCUCGAUGUCGGCUCAUCACAUCCUGGGGCUGAAGUCGGUCCCAAGGGUAUGGCUGUUCGCCAUUUAAAGUGGUACGCGAGCUGGGUUUAGAACGUCGUGAGACAGUUCGGUCCCUAUCUGCCGUGGGCGUUGGAAGAUUGAAGGGGGCUGCUCCUAGUACGAGAGGACCGGAGUGGACGAACCUCUGGUGUUCGGGUUGUGUCGCCAGACGCAUUGCCCGGUAGCUAAGUUCGGAAUCGAUAACCGCUGAAAGCAUCUAAGCGGGAAGCGAGCCCUGAGAUGAGUCUUCCCUGAUACUUUAAGUAUCCUAAAGGGUUGUCGGAGACUACGACGUUGAUAGGUCAGGUGUGUAAGUGCUGUGAGGCAUUGAGCUAACUGAUACUAAUUGCCCGUGAGGCUUAACCAUACAACACCCAAGGGGUUU
This 770-nucleotide ribosomal RNA is filed under the name Vibrio parahaemolyticus. RNAcentral's name for it is "bacterial LSU rRNA". It matches the Rfam family "Bacterial large subunit ribosomal RNA", at positions 2179 to 2925 of the family's 2925-position model. Lineage: Bacteria; Pseudomonadati; Pseudomonadota; Gammaproteobacteria; Vibrionales; Vibrionaceae. The record is from RNAcentral.